UACGUAGGUGGCAAGCGUUGUCCGGAUUUACUGGGUGUAAAGGGAGCGCAGGCGGGAAGGCAAGUCAGCUGUGAAAUACAUGGGCUUAACCCAUGGACUGCAGUUGAAACUGUCAUUCUUGAGUGAAGUAGAGGUAGGCGGAAUUCCGAGUGUAGCGGUGAAAUGCGUAGAUAUUCGGAGGAACACCAGUGGCGAAGGCGGCCUACUGGGCUUUAACUGACGCUGAGGCUCGAAAGUGUGGGGAGCAAACAGGAUUAGAUACCCUGGUAGUCCACACUGUAAACGAUGAUUGCUAGGUGUGGGGGGUCUGACCCCUUCCGUGCCGGAGUUAACGCAAUAAGCAAUCCACCUGGGGAGUACGGCCGCAAGGCUGAA
This 375-nucleotide ribosomal RNA is filed under the name uncultured bacterium. Its description in RNAcentral is "bacterial SSU rRNA". It matches the Rfam family "Bacterial small subunit ribosomal RNA", at positions 524 to 898 of the family's 1533-position model. The record is from RNAcentral.